CAGUCGCCGCGGUAAUACGAAGGGGGCUAGCGUUGUUCGGAUUUACUGGGCGUAAAGCGCACGUAGGCGGAUCGAUCAGUCAGGGGUGAAAUCCCAGAGCUCAACUCUGGAACUGCCUUUGAUACUGUCGAUCUGGAGUAUGGAAGAGGUGAGUGGAAUUCCGAGUGUAGAGGUGAAAUUCGUAGAUAUUCGGAGGAACACCAGUGGCGAAGGCGGCUCACUGGUCCAUUACUGACGCUGCGGUGCGAAAGCGUGGGGAGCAAACAGGAUUAGAGACCCCUGUAGUCCCUGUCUCUUAUAC
Molecule: ribosomal RNA, 301 nt
Filed under: uncultured bacterium
Lineage: Bacteria
Description: partial 16S ribosomal RNA
Rfam family: Bacterial small subunit ribosomal RNA
Source: RNAcentral